GGCCUUGUAUUCAUCGUUGUGAUUAUAGAAUGCAAUUCUGUAGGGGUAAGUUGAAGGACUUAUCAAGGCCU
This 71-nucleotide transfer RNA is filed under the name Ruptitermes arboreus. Its description in RNAcentral is "tRNA-Cys". Lineage: Eukaryota; Metazoa; Arthropoda; Insecta; Blattodea; Termitidae. The record is from RNAcentral.